Gallus gallus (chicken) is the source of this 2895-nucleotide long non-coding RNA. Lineage: Eukaryota; Metazoa; Chordata; Aves; Galliformes; Phasianidae. The record is from Ensembl.
GAAGUCUUGAGCCAAUAAAAUAGGAAGCAUUACUAUUGGAACAGCUCUUGUAUCAAUUAUUCUCCCCCUUUUUUAGGCAAGUGAAGAACUCCAGUGAGGUCCUACAAGUGUGAAGAGAGAAAAUGGCUUCAGCCUGUCAUUAAAGGCAGAAGUUUAUUUUAAAGGUCACAUUUGAAACGUGGUUUCAUCGCAAGAAGAUACUGGCAAGACAAGCCAAAUGAUGGUUUGUGCAUUCGCUAGAGAAACCCAUUUUCUCGUAGCAGCGUAAACUCCCCUCUUCCUGUGGUGAUACUCACGAUGUGCAGAGGUGUCUGCUGCCUCUGUCAGCUACUGCAGUGGGGAAGACCAUAUACUUGUAGACUUACUAUGUUGAUUGUCUUUUACGAUCAACAUAAUUGAUUGUAUCAGAGGUUUGAGUUAUGUGGUCUCUCUCGUAUUUCCCAGAUUUCCAUUCAUUUUAAUGGCAGAGAUGGAUGAAACUGAAAUGUCCUUGACUCUGAACAGCUCUGCUCAGCAACAACUGAAACACUGGUGUGUUAUCAGCAUUCUUUUUCUCCUAUAGCCAAAACAAAGCACCGUACCAGACACCGAAGAAAAUUAACUCUGUCCCAGAUGAAAUCAUGACACCUCCCCAGUAUUCAUUCAUCUACUAUUCAGUCCAGUCUUUUCACAGCUUACUUGAAGGCAUGAAAAUAUUUUCAGUCAUUUUCUUUAGUUACAGAAAUAUCUCAUGUAGCUCCAAGUUUGUUUCAGGCAUAGUAGAUGCUGUUGUGGUUAACAGAAAGAUACUAUAAGUGGAGGUGGUGAAAAGCUGUCUGAGUGCUGGACUUCUGUACUGCUAGACCAUGCAGCCACUGUGGGAUUGAUAGAGUGAAUAUUUCAGAAGUUGGGUUAGAUUUGAAUUUGAUGUAUUUUGAAUUUGCAUGUUUUACAGUUUUUUUCUGAUACUUCCUGAACAGCUGCCACCACCAGAGAAUAUUUCUGCUGUUUUAAGAACUGCAUGUUGUCAGGGGUAGACUUUUGUGUGACCAAAUGUCAGUCAUCCUUACCCCCUUUUCUGGAAUAAAAAUCUUCCAGAACAUAAAAACUGAACCAUGAAGAUGAAGCGAAUACAAAUCUGGCUAAAUCUCUUGGUCCACUGUUGAAUUUUCUUUUUGCUAAUAUAGGUUGCAAUGUACUUAUUUCAGGCAUUUAAUUCAGCCUCAUACUUAAUGUUUUCAAGCCCGUUUCCUGAUGACCUCAAACACUUAACCUUUCCUACCGAAUUAAAAUCCUGGAAGCAAUCAUGAAGGUGGAAUGGAAGCAAAGCCACCUGGUAAUAAAACCUAACUUAGUGAAGGUGCCUUAAAUGUUCAAGGAUUUGAAAGCAGAAGUUUAUAGUUUCCUUAUGUUAAAACUCCGAAAACUGCCUAUCUGAAACAUGAGUCACAUGAAAGAGGGGAAACAUCUACAGAAAUUCUUAAAGUAAUCUCAAAAAAUAAUCUUUAGGAGCAUGGAGAGAGCCUGCAGGAAGGAGGUUAAAGACUGAUUUGGAAGUGGGACAGCAGGCCAAAGGCCAGGAGAGUAAGAGCAAUGAAUGGGAGCGACAUGGCCUAAUGCAGAAGCAACAUUUUGGUUUUAAGUCAGGAAGCCCAUCAAGUUAAGUCUAUUAGAAUUGUGAAGAAACAUUUUCAGAUGCAUAUACUUUUGCUUAGUUUGUUAGAACAAGAAAUUACAGCAUUUUAACCCAAGAACUAUUCUUUGAAAGUCUCCUAACAUAUAAAAUGUCUAACUUUAAGAUGACACUUAAAGAAUUAUUAAAAGAAUAUAUGAUGUGACUACCUGGGACUGCAGACAGAGCAGAGGACUCGACUUGAUGAAUGAGGACAUCUAUUCCAGCUUCAUAUUCCCACGGGAAAUCUACACUGAAACAAAUCUACUGUUUUGAAAUUACACAGUUCAGGCUACAAGGCUGAAAUCCUCCCUGUAGAAGUAGUGAUUCGGGAAGGUAAAAGAAGCAGCAAAGUCAACUCUGCAGAACAAUACUGUGUGCACCUUCAAGAUGCAUAGCCAGCCUGCCAUUACCUCUGAUCUUCACUGGUCUCUGGAAAAACUGUAUGAGUGAACUAACUGCCAACAUAUCCUUGUAACUGGAGAUCACAGCAAUUGUUUACCCUACUAAUACAGUAAUAUACAUAGAGUCAAUGUCAAAAUGCAGAUUUCUGGCUAAUCUGUGAUAUGUGGGUGACAACAAAAUGUUCCUCUGUUUUUCCCUUAUUCUUUUCAUAUAAACCAAGAAGGGAAGAUUAAUGUGAUUAUGCUGCUGAAAGAAUAAUAAUUAGAGAAGCAACAAAGAUCUGGUUGCUGACAUUUGUGACACAAAUUAAAAGAAAAUCCGAAUGGUUUGUUUUACUUCUCUUUCCUUAAAGAAACAGUUCAGGCAGACCUGGCAAACUAGAGGGACUGCACUUUAAAAAGCAUUUUUGCACAGGUUAGUAGAAAAACAAAAUACAUUUUAAAAUCAUGUCAGCUUGGAAACAGAGAUUUGAAAAAGGGGAACCAGACAACUCAGAGAAUAAGUAUAAUGAAUAUCUGUUUGAAUAUAAAGCAAAAUAACAUAUCCCAAUUUUCUUUUUUUAAUGUUUAUUUUUUCCUACAGAUUUAGAUUCAGAGUUUACAGAUUUUUAACAAAGUACAGGUUUUAAAAGAGAAAAAUAUGAAAGAAAAUACCCAUAGAGGAAAUAUAUCAAAAUUCAGCUGGUUACCUUAUCGGUUUAGGUUUCAGCUGGUGUGUCUCUGGGGGUACGGUGUAUCAUCCAAAAACUGUAAAUCUUAUGGAUUGGUGCAACUGGCAUUUCCACGUGUCCUUCUUUCAUCCCACUUAAAUCUUUGCAAAGGUUGCAUAAAUAAAACAAG